CCUACGGGAGGCAGCAGUGAGGAAUAUUGGUCAAUGGGCGCGAGCCUGAACCAGCCAAGUCGCGUGAGGGAAGAAGGUCCUAUGGAUUGUAAACCUCUUUUGUCGGGGAGCAAAAGAUGCCACGCGUCGCGUUCCGAGAGUACCCGAAGAAAAAGCAUCGGCUAACUCCGUGCCAGCAGCCGCGGUAAUACGGAGGAUGCGAGCGUUAUCCGGAUUUAUUGGGUUUAAAGGGUGCGCAGGCGGAAGAUCAAGUCAGCGGUAAAAUUGAGAGGCUCAACCUCUGCGAGCCGUUGAAACUGGUUUUCUUGAGUGAGCGAGAGGUAUGCGGAAUGCGUGGUGUAGCGGUGAAAUGCGUAGAUAUCACGCAGAACUCCAGUGGCGAAGGCGGCAUACCGGCGCUCAACUGACGCUGAUGCACGAAAGUGUGGGGAGCGAACAGGAUUAGAUACCCGAGUAGUC
RNAcentral lists this ribosomal RNA (459 nucleotides) under uncultured bacterium. RNAcentral's name for it is "partial 16S ribosomal RNA". It matches the Rfam family "Bacterial small subunit ribosomal RNA", at positions 338 to 795 of the family's 1533-position model. The record is from RNAcentral.